AUUGAACGCUGGCGGCAGGCCUAACACAUGCAAGUCGAGCGGAUGAAGGGAGCUUGCUCCUGGAUUCAGCGGCGGACGGGUGAGUAAUGCCUAGGAAUCUGCCUGGUAGUGGGGGAUAACGUCCGGAAACGGGCGCUAAUACCGCAUACGUCCUGAGGGAGAAAGUGGGGGAUCUUCGGACCUCACGCUAUCAGAUGAGCCUAGGUCGGAUUAGCUAGUUGGGGGGGUAAAGGCCUACCAAGGCGACGAUCCGUAACUGGUCUGAGAGGAUGAUCAGUCACACUGGAACUGAGACACGGUCCAGACUCCUACGGGAGGCAGCAGUGGGGAAUAUUGGACAAUGGGCGAAAGCCUGAUCCAGCCAUGCCGCGUGUGUGAAGAAGGUCUUCGGAUUGUAAAGCACUUUAAGUUGGGAGGAAGGGCAGUAAGUCAAUACCUUGCUGUUUUGACGUUACCAACAGAAUAAGCACCGGCUAACUUCGUG
Molecule: ribosomal RNA, 484 nt
Filed under: uncultured bacterium
Lineage: Bacteria
Description: partial 16S ribosomal RNA
Rfam family: Bacterial small subunit ribosomal RNA
Source: RNAcentral